AAUAGAUCAAUUGGCAAGCACAAAGCAAGGCUAGUGGCUAGAGGUUUUCUUCAGAAACCUGGGCUAGAUUACUUUGAGGUGUUUGCGCCUGUAGAUAGACAUGAAACAAUCAAACUCGUGAUUGCUUUAACUGCAAAUAGAAAUUGGUCUCUGAUGCAUUUGGAUGUGAAGUCUGCAUUUCUGAAUGGUCCAUUAGAAGAGGAAGUAUACGUGUCACAACCUCCUAGUUUCGUGAAAAAGAAUCAGGAAGGGAAGGUGUACAAGUUACAUAAAGCUCUGUAUGGAUUGAAGCAAGCGCCCAGAGCUGGGAAUUUGAAGAUUGAUUCAUUUUUCAAGAAGCAAGGUUUUCAGAAGUGUGAGAUGGAGUAUGGCGU
Non-coding RNA from Vicia faba (fava bean), 374 nucleotides. Lineage: Eukaryota; Viridiplantae; Streptophyta; Magnoliopsida; Fabales; Fabaceae. The record is from the annotation of a GenBank genome assembly.